CAAUAGCGUGUAUUAAAGUUGUUGCAGUUAAAAAGCUCGUAGUUGGAUUUCUGGUGGGAGCGAUCGGUCUGGCGCUUAGCGCGAGUACUUGCAUCGUCUCCGGCCAUCCUUGGGGAGAGUCUGUCUGGCAUUAGGUUGUCGGGCAGAGGAUCCUCAUCGUUUACUGUGAAAAAAUUAGAGUGUUCAAAGCAGGCUUAUGCCGUUGAAUAUAUUAGCAUGGAAUAAUAAGAUAGGACUUUGGUACUAUUUUGUUGGUUUGCGCACCAAAGUAAUGAUUAAUAGGGACAGUUGGGGGCAUUCGUAUUCCGUUGUCAGAGGUGAAAUUCUUGGAUUUACGGAAGACGAACUACUGCGAAAGCAUUUACCAAGGAUGUUUUCAUUAA
Molecule: ribosomal RNA, 383 nt
Filed under: uncultured eukaryote
Lineage: Eukaryota
Description: partial 18S ribosomal RNA
Rfam family: Eukaryotic small subunit ribosomal RNA
Source: RNAcentral